AGAGUUUGAUCAUGGCUCAGAACGAACGCUGGCGGCGUGGAUAAGACAUGCAAGUCGAACGGGACACUUUUUGUAGCAAUACAGAAGGUGUUCAGUGGCGCAAGGGUGCGUAACACGUGGGCAACCUGCCGGGAAGUGGGGGAUAGCUCGCCGAAAGGCGAAUUAAUACCGCAUGUGGCGAGGAAAGACAUCUUUCCGAAGCUAAAGUCGGGGCAACCUGACGCUUUCUGAUGGGCCCGCGGCCUAUCAGCUUGUUGGUGAGGUAACGGCUCACCAAGGCGAUGACGGGUAGCUGGUCUGAGAGGACGACCAGCCACACUGGAACUGAGACACGGUCCAGACACCUACGGGUGGCAGCAGUCGAGAAUUUUUCUCAAUGGGCGAAAGCCUGAAGGAGCGACGCCGCGUGAAGGAUGAAGGUCUUCGGAUUGUAAACUUCUGUCAUUAGAGAACAAUGUGUACGGAGUAACUACCCGUACAUUGAUAGUAUCUGAAGAGGAAGAGACGGCUAACUCUGUGCCAGCAGCCGCGGUAAUACAGAGGUCUCAAGCGUUGUUCGGAUUCAUUGGGCGUAAAGGGUGCGUAGGUGGUAGAAUAAGUCGGGUGUGAAAUCUCGGGGCUUAACCCCGAAACUGCACUCGAUACUGUUUUGCUCGAGGACUGGAGAGGAGAUUGGAAUUCAUGGUGUAGCAGUGAAAUGCGUAGAUAUCAUGAGGAAGACCAGUGGCGAAGGCGGAUCUCUGGACAGUUCCUGACACUGAGGCACGAAGGCCAGGGGAGCAAACGGGAUUAGAUACCCCAGUAGUCC
Molecule: ribosomal RNA, 808 nt
Filed under: uncultured bacterium
Lineage: Bacteria
Description: bacterial SSU rRNA
Rfam family: Bacterial small subunit ribosomal RNA
Source: RNAcentral